RNAcentral lists this ribosomal RNA (711 nucleotides) under uncultured soil bacterium. Its description in RNAcentral is "bacterial SSU rRNA". It matches the Rfam family "Bacterial small subunit ribosomal RNA", at positions 67 to 763 of the family's 1533-position model. The record is from RNAcentral.
CGGCAGCACGGGAGCUUGCUCCUGGUGGCGAGUGGCGAACGGGUGAGUAAUGUAUCGGAACGUACCCCGUCGUGGGGGAUAACUCUCCGAAAGGAGAGCUAAUACCGCAUACGACCCGAGGGUGAAAGCGGGGGACCUGGGGUAACCUGGGCCUCGCGCGAUGGGAGCGGCCGAUAUCGGAUUAGCUAGUUGGUGGGGUAAAGGCCUACCAAGGCGACGAUCCGUAGCGGGUCUGAGAGGACGACCCGCCAUACUGGAACUGAGACACGGUCCAGACUCCUACGGGAGGCAGCAGUGGGGAAUUUUGGACAAUGGGCGCAAGCCUGAUCCAGCCAUUCCGCGUGAGUGAAGAAGGCCUUCGGGUUGUAAAGCUCUUUCAGCAGGAACGAAACGGUGGGUCUUAAUACGGCCUGCUAAUGACGGUACCUGCAGAAGAAGCACCGGCUAACUACGUGCCAGCAGCCGCGGUAAUACGUAGGGUGCGAGCGUUAAUCGGAAUUACUGGGCGUAAAGCGUGCGCAGGCGGCGACAUAAGACAGAUGUGAAAUCCCCGGGCUCAACCUGGGAACGGCGUUUGUGACUGUGUGGCUAGAGUGUAGCAGAGGGGGGUGGAAUUCCACGUGUAGCAGUGAAAUGCGUAGAGAUGUGGAGGAACACCGAUGGCGAAGGCAGCCCCCUGGGUUAACACUGACGCUCAUGCACGAAAGCGUG